Molecule: ribosomal RNA, 216 nt
Filed under: Glomeromycotina sp.
Lineage: Eukaryota; Fungi; Glomeromycota
Description: partial small subunit ribosomal RNA
Rfam family: Eukaryotic small subunit ribosomal RNA (bases 40-216)
Source: RNAcentral
GGGUCAGUAGGUUGGUCGUGCCACCGGUACGUACUGGUCUCACUGAUUCCUCCUUCCUGAAGAACCGUAAUGCCAUUAAUUUGGUGUUGCGGGGAAACAGGACCGUUACUUUGAAAAAAUUAGAGUGUUUAAAGCAAGCUAACGCUUUAAUACAUUAGCAUGGAAUAAUGAAAUAGGACGAUCGAUCCUAUUUUGUUGGUUUCUAGGAUUGACGUA